UAACCUCUGACGAUAUUCGUGUAUGUUG
This 28-nucleotide non-coding RNA is filed under the name unclassified sequences. RNAcentral describes it as "L19-Flavobacteria ribosomal protein leader". It matches the Rfam family "L19-Flavobacteria ribosomal protein leader". The record is from RNAcentral.